UUUUUAUUGCAUGGACACAGGCUGUCACUCUUAUUUUUGUUGAUAGUCAAAAAAGGCAAGAAAGAGAGAGAAGAGUUGGAAGGGGAGAGAGACAGUCAGUUGGGCAGGAUGAAAAAAAAACUAUAUUACUUUGGACUACAUGAUUUGGCCCGCUGCCUUGCUGUUAUUUUCUUUUUAAUUAAUGUAUACUACUACUACUAUUAAAUACAUAUGAACUGCAGCCUCCUGCAGUCACUUACUUGUGAUUCUAGCUUUCGGCCAGGAGAGGAUGUCAUCAGGGGGCAUCCAACGUUCUUCAGAUGUUUCGACCCUAAACAACAACAUCCUCCAGUUGGUGGCUCAGCAGUGAAAGCCAGUCACUGCCCAUCUUUUCCUGGCUUCCAGCGCAACUCUUCCCAAAGCCAACAUGUAGAUGUUUUCAUCUCCCUUCAUGUUAUUCCCAAAACUUUCAGCAUCUUCCACACAGAUUGUGCAGGGAAACCCCUGCAGCGAACCUCAAUUGGAAAUAGCCAGGCCUUCUACCCUUUAUCCCUGCAUUGCUGGACCAGGACCUGGUACUUGGUGGCUUUCCUCUCUGAGGCCUCCUCGCAUCCAUCUUCCCAUUAAUUAAUAUGAAUUAAUUGAUUUAUUUAAUCAAUAUUUUAUAUAAUUGCAUGUCCGAUGUACUCAAGUGAUUUGGCAUUCUAUAAUAAACUAUGAAUCUUGCAAUGCUAUGUUAAUUUCAGCUCUUUCAAACAGAGUCAUCACUGCACAGAGUGAAGAUGGAGAGGAAGUGGCCAGAUGGAGCUGAGAGGGGAAAAGGCAUGCAAAAGAAAAACCCUCUAAAAAGAAGCAGUAUAAUGUACAUUACUGACCUGCCAGGACUAUAAGUGCAGGUGAAGAGAGUCAACCUGACACUAGCUCUGUGCAGUGCUCACACUUCAGGGUCAACCUAAGAUGACAGGUAGGGAUCAAAUAAGAGAAAUAUGCUUUAAUAUAUUUGCAUGAAAUAUAGUAUGGUUAAAUCGUAGGUAUUUUAAGUAUUUUUUAAGUCUCAAAACAACAACACCUCAGUGCCCUAAUGUGAUGCUUUAAAAUUUUAACUAAAAGAAAUUUAGAUUCUGUGCUCACAAAUUACAGUGAGGUUAAAAAGUUUUCCAGCAA
This is a long non-coding RNA of Ictalurus punctatus (channel catfish), 1143 nucleotides long. The record is from Ensembl. Lineage: Eukaryota; Metazoa; Chordata; Actinopteri; Siluriformes; Ictaluridae.